Molecule: ribosomal RNA, 468 nt
Filed under: uncultured bacterium
Lineage: Bacteria
Description: partial 16S ribosomal RNA
Rfam family: Bacterial small subunit ribosomal RNA
Source: RNAcentral
GACGAACGCUGGCGGCGUGCUUAACACAUGCAAGUCGAACGGAAAGGCCCUGCUUUUGUGGGGUGCUCGAGUGGCGAACGGGUGAGUAACACGUGAGUAACCUGCCCUUGACUUUGGGAUAACUUCAGGAAACUGGGGCUAAUACCGGAUAGGAGCUCCUGCUGCAUGGUGGGGGUUGGAAAGUUUCGGCGGUUGGGGCUGGACUCGCGGCUUAUCGGCUUGUUGGUGGGGUAGUGGCUUACCAAGGGUUUGACGGGUAGCCCGCAUGAGAGGGUGACCGGCCACAAUAGGCCUAAGGUACGGCGCAGACUCCUAUCGGCGGCAGCAGUGGAGAGUAUUACACAAUGGGCGGACGCCUGAUGCAGCAACCCCGCGUUCGGGAUGCUGGGCUUCGGGUUGUAAACCGCUUUCGCCUGUGACGAAGCCUUCUUGACGGUACUGGAUAAAGAAGCACCGGCUAACUACGUG